AUGUGUGUGUGUGUGUGUGUGUGUGUGUGUGUGUGUGUGUGUGUGUGUGUGUGUGUGUGUAUACAGUCUCGGUGGUGGCGAUUUCAAGUCAAGCCCAGGGAUUGGUGGGAUUUCAAGCUCAGGGGUUGGUAGGCUCGGACCUUUUACUCUACAUUUACAGAUAAAAAUAUUAGGUGACUGUAAGCCAGGUGGAUCCCCAAACCCAAGGAGGUAGAAAGGGCCCUUAAAUUCCCUUUACCUAAAGCCUAGCCCUAAUUCACCCUGGGGACCAGCAGCCAGGUGAGAAGAUGUACUCCUUGGGGCCCUGGCUAGAGGAAGCAAUGUUUACUGUCUGGAAAGAGCAGAGGCACAGCAUCCAGGCAAUGGAUUCUAAUCAGUUCUGCCAGCGUCUGGGCUGGGCCAAGGCCGUCCUGGUCCUUAGAGGUCAACCCAAUGCAGAGCCUCUGGAGUGGGGGGUGGGGGUAACAGCAAGGAGUAGGUUUGAGAGAGGGUCUUUCUGUUCCAUUGUAACAAGUCUCUGCUCUCUGGGCUGCCAUUGAUCCUGCCUGCUACAUGCUCUCUGGGCACCUUUGGGUGACCCGUAAGUGCUCCCCAGAACAGACCUGGAGACCUGCUCUACAAUGACAGACAAGGAUACUGGGAGAUGCACCUGCUUCCCAUUAUGGUAUAAGGAUGCAUUCCAAGGUCCCAGCCAGGGUGUGGGGGUUUCAAGGGUGACACUCUAAAGGACUUCUCAGAAUGUCCUUAGUGACGUAAGAGUUUCUGGACAUGGUAUAGAGGCUGCCUGGAUGGCAAACUCCCCUGCGUUUGCUUUGUAGCAUUAAGGGAAGGCCUUGGACUUUAGAUCCUCCUUAAUGGGGAAGUUUUGGUCCACUGUAGCUUCUUUUUUAAAAAAAAGAUUUAUUUAUUAUUUUUAUGCGUUCACUGUAGCUCUCUUCAGACACACCAGAAGAGGGCAUCAGAUCCCAUUACAGAUGGUUGUGAGCCACCAUUUAGUUGCCGGGACUUGAAUUCAGGAUCUCUGGAAGAGCAGUCAGUGCUCUUAACCGCUGAGCCAUCUCUCCAGCCCCUCACUUUAGCCUCUAACCAGUGUUGCUGCCCUUGAUGCAAUCACAGAGCCUGGAAUUCCCAUUAGAGAUCUGGGGCUGGCGAAUUCUUGUUUUUUUUUUUUAAGAUUUAUUUUUAUUUUAUGUAUGAGUGCUUUGCCUCUUUGUGUGUAUUCUACGUGCAUACCUGAUGCCCUCAGGGACAGAAGAUGGCAUUGGACCUCCUGGAACUGGAGUUAGGUGCAGUUAUGAGCUACCACGCAGGUGCUUAGAGCCAAACCUUGGUCCUAUGCAAGAGCAAAUGCUCUUAACUGUUGAACCAUCUCUCCAGCCCCUAAUAAACAUUUUUGCAGGGAGCCUUUCAAGAACCCUCCCCACACUCCUGGCUGCUUCCAGUAUCAGACUCAUGCUCUGAGAUCCAAAGGCAGAAGACAGCAGGGAUAGGGGAGCUCAGACUGUGAAAAGGGAACAGAGAGCUCGCUGGCCAGUAUAGCUUACUUGGUGAGAUCCAGGCCACUGAGAGUCCUGGUCUUAGAAGAGGUAGACAGUGGACAAGUGAGUUUAUCCUCUGACCUCUCCAAGCAGGCACAAAGACACACACAUACACAUACACACACACAUAUAUACACACAUACAUGCACACACACACAUACAUACACACACAUAUAAACACACACACAUGCACACACAUGCACACACACGCACAUGCACACACACAAUGCACACACACAUUCACACACAUACACACAUACAUACACACACAUAUAGACACACACACAUGCACAUACACAUCCACACACACACGCACACACACAUGCACACACACGCACUCACACAUACACACACAUACACACAUAUAGACACACACAUGCACACACACAUGCACACACACGCACUCACACAUACACACACAUACACACAUAUAGACACACACACAUGCACACACAUGCACACACACAUACGUGCACACACACAUGUACAUACACACAUGCACACACACAUACGCAUACACCAUCACACAUGCACACACAUGCACAUACACAUACACAUGUGCACACACACACAUAUAUUCAUAAAUGCAUGCAUACAUGCAUUUUUGUUUGUUUUAUCAAGUCAGGGUUUCUCUGUAUAGUCCUGGCCAUCCUGGAACUCGCUCCAUAAACCAGGCUGGCCUCGAACUCAAAGAUCUGCCUGUCUUUACCUCCCAAGUGCUGGGCUUAAAGGCAUGUGCCACCACCACCUGGCUGUACAUGCAUUUUUUUUUAAAGGCAACUUUACUUGUCUCACAGUACAUGUAAUAGCCUGUUCUAGAGGCUGGAAAGUCUUACGAGCAUGUUAUCAGAGAAGAUAUCUCACUGCUUACAACUCCCAGUAAAAACAGGCGAGAGGGCACAGGUGGAAAGGGGAGAAGUCAAGGGGUGGCCUGGCUUUAUAACAGUCUGCUCGGGGAGUCACUAAUACAUUCCUGAUUGAUCAGGAGCUCACAUGUCUGGGGAAAAAAAAAAAAAAACCAAACAACAACCAAAAAACAGAAAUCCCACUUGCUUCUCAAGGCUCCGUUUCUCAAUACUGCUGCAGUGUGUGUUCUGAGAGGUGUGAGAACAAACCAUCCCACUGGGCCGGCGUAGUGGCCCGCACCCGGACAAAAGCUUCCGGGACUGGAAGUAGCCUUUGCACUGGAGUCUAGGGAUGGGGAGGAUGAGGAAGCCUGAAGUCAGUUGAUGGGACCUUCCUUUCUGCAUUAAAGUUGAAUUGACUUGUCUAUUCGGAGACCCCAUUCUUCUCUUCUGUGAGAAACCAGACCUCCACAAGGCCCUUAUGCUCCCUACCCACCUCAGACUGUCCCGUCCACCUCAUUCCUGCCUCCCUGACCCUGCCGUUGGGAAUCACCUGGGACAGCGGGUGAGUCAGACGCUCCAUUUGGACUCAGGCAAGGAAGCUGGUCAGAGGAUGGGAUGGGAGAUUUCAGGGUGGGGAACGAAGGGUUGUCAAUGCUCAUGCUUGGGUGAGGAAGAGACCAGGACUGGAGAUGCUCUUGCCUGAACAGGGCGUGGUUGUUCUCAGGGUGGGAUGUACCCAGAAACCUAGAGAUGGUAUCUAGGCUUCUGCAGAGAAAUCAGCACAAUGAGAAUAAUGAGGUGAGUGAAUGACAAAUGACUGUGUCACCAAAUCAGGGAGUCAGUGAAUGUUUCCGGACCCUACACAGGCCACCACUGGCUCUAGCACCUUUUCUCAUGGCUACUUAAUUAAUUCCCUCUCAGCCUUUCAAAUGUGGCUUAAGUGGCCCCUCUACCACUGGCCACCAAAAGAUGUGUGUUCCACCCCGAUGGUGAUCUUCCUUGGUACGAAAGCCUUCUGUUCAUCAAAGUAACUCAGAGCCAGGAAUUUAGAUUUCACCAAACCCUGGAAAUCUUGUUCGGAGAUCGCUAGGAGUAGGAUCACUCUCCCACUGUUCCUGGCCUGUUUGUCCCAGUUCACAUAGUCCUGUGCCCACAACCUUUGUCUCACUAGAGAUCACAGUAGCUGCUAGCCAGGUACACUCACUCUGAUAGCCCUUACCCCACAAUGGUUUAAAUAGAUUUUGUUUCCCCCACCCCCCAACCCCCAAUGAACUGAACCAGUUCUCUGAAGCUGUUCUCAGGGAUGCGUUUUUUUGCCCUUGGGCGGCACUCACUGCCACCCAAGUUCCUGCCUGCAUCCACCUGCUUGAGGGAGCUUCCCUCCCUCCAGCCAGAUUGAUCAGCUGGCCUGGCUUGGUCAGGGGGAGGGAAGAAGCAGACACAGGGCGGCAGCUGGUGCCCAACCUAGUUGUUUCAGGUCCUCUGGUGUGAACUGGAAAUUUAAGGGUUCUUUGGAAAGCCACUAUGUCAGAUGAUUUUUUUUUUGUUCUUUUUUUCGGAGCUUGGGAUCGAACCCAGGGCCUUGCGCUUCCUAGGCAAGCGCUUUACCACUGAGCUAAAUCCCCAACCCCUCAGAUGAUGUUUUGCUGGGGGCAAACACUGCUUUCCUGAAGCAAACACAGGUAGAAGGAUGUUUGGCUAAGAAGACUCAUGAAGGAACAUUUUACUGAAGCAGACACGGGUGAGGGGGCGUUUUGCUAAAGCAAACACAAUGAAAGUUCUCAAGCAUGCAAUAGGGUAAAGGAUUCUACGCUAAGGACAUGAAUGUAUUGGUCUGCCUUUCGUUGCAUAGCUGGGAUCCAUUUACUGUGGCUCCAUAGAGAGAAAUGCACCAAAAAACAUUUGAUGGUAUGCUGUGGCUUCUUGCUGCUUCUGCAGACUUGGCCAAUUGACAGAGUGAUGCCACCUGAGACAAACUCAUGUCGCGUUUUGCUAGCUCAGACUCGCAUGGUGAGGCAAGACCCAUGGAGGACACACGAUGUUUGGCUUCAAUGAUGCAGCAGAGAACUUCUCCUGGUGUUCCUGCUGGCCUCAGUUCCUCCUGCUGACACACGCCAAUUCAGCCUGAGGCCUUCCUGGCUAUCUCUGCUAGGUCUUGCCACCACUGCUGAUUCUGUGUUUGCUAUCCCAACUCUACGGAACUGGACGGCUGGUGUAUUGGGUCUACUCGUGAACUGAGCUGCUGCAGCUGACCCACAAACUGAACCGCUGAUUUCCUAACGACGCAGAUGGGGUUUGCUCCAGUGAACCAUUUCUAAACAGGUCCACUUCGCCUGUAUCCCAAUAACCUUUUCUACUACUGCUGGUGGGUGAUAGGCUAGAAGGGAGAAUGUAAUGACCAUUAUUAAAAGCAGGUUUUGAAAAAAUA
Long non-coding RNA from Rattus norvegicus (Norway rat), 4814 nucleotides. RefSeq lists it as uncharacterized. The record is from RefSeq and is a predicted model, not a curated record. Lineage: Eukaryota; Metazoa; Chordata; Mammalia; Rodentia; Muridae.